AACUAACAGAGGAAAGGGUUGCUAACAGGAAAGCAGCUGGCCUUGGCUGGGCCAGAGAGGUUUAGCUGCUAUGCUAACAGAGACAGCAGCUGGCCUCGGCUGGGUCAGAGAGGUUUAGCUGCUAUGCUAACAGAGACAGCAGCUGGCCUCGGCUGGGUCAGAGAGGUUUAGCUGCUAUGCUAACAGAGACAGCAGCUGGCCUCGGCUGGGAUGGAGCAGUUUAGCAGAAAUUCUUUAUGUUAGAACAGAGA
Astyanax mexicanus (Mexican tetra) is the source of this 251-nucleotide long non-coding RNA. RefSeq lists it as uncharacterized. The transcript has 3 exons. The record is from RefSeq and is a predicted model, not a curated record. NCBI's taxonomy places the organism in Eukaryota, Metazoa, Chordata, Actinopteri, Characiformes, Acestrorhamphidae.